GCGGUGCUGCGGGGCUCGUGAGGAUUACUAUCCCCGGGGCCUUAUCGAUCUCAACGGGAGCUGUCCCCGCCCUUGUCCGUGGACUUGGGCAUACGGCGCCCACCUACAUUGUAGGUUUCCCGGGAUCGACCUCCCACGGCCUUGGCGGCUCCGCA
This 155-nucleotide non-coding RNA is filed under the name Beijerinckiaceae bacterium. Its description in RNAcentral is "6S RNA". It matches the Rfam family "6S / SsrS RNA". From Rfam's summary of the family: E. coli 6S RNA was the first non coding RNA to be sequenced, but its function was unknown until recently. It consists of 184 nucleotides that fold into an extended hairpin structure with a large single-stranded internal bulge. The 6S RNA specifically associates with RNA polymerase holoenzyme containing the sigma70 specificity factor. Lineage: Bacteria; Pseudomonadati; Pseudomonadota; Alphaproteobacteria; Hyphomicrobiales; Beijerinckiaceae. The record is from RNAcentral.